CGAGGACGAACGCUGGCGGCGUGCUUAACACAUGCAAGUCGAACGGGGCGAUUUAAAAGCUUGCUUUGAUGAGCCUAGUGGCAAACGGGUGAGUAACGCGUAGGCAACCUGCCCUCAGGAUGGGGACAACGGCCCGAAAGGACCGCUAAUACCGAAUGACGUAUUGGGAUCGCAUGAUACUGAUACCAAAGGCGGAGCAAUCCGUCACCUGAGGAUGGGCCUGCGUCUGAUUAGGUAGUUGGUGGGGUAACGGCCUACCAAGUCGACGAUCGGUAGCCGGACUGAGAGGUUGAACGGCCACAUUGGGACUGAGACACGGCCCAGACUCCUACGGGAGGCAGCAGUGGGGGAUAUUGCACAAUGGGCGAAAGCCUGAUGCAGCAACGCCGCGUGAGGGAAGAAGUAUUUCGGUAUGUAAAGCUCUAUCAGCAGGGAAGAAGAAAUGACGGUACCUGACUAAGAAGCCCCGGCUAACUACGUG
This 481-nucleotide ribosomal RNA is filed under the name uncultured bacterium. RNAcentral's name for it is "bacterial SSU rRNA". It matches the Rfam family "Bacterial small subunit ribosomal RNA", at positions 26 to 507 of the family's 1533-position model. The record is from RNAcentral.